Long non-coding RNA from Juglans microcarpa x Juglans regia, 231 nucleotides. RefSeq lists it as uncharacterized. The record is from RefSeq and is a predicted model, not a curated record. NCBI's taxonomy places the organism in Eukaryota, Viridiplantae, Streptophyta, Magnoliopsida, Fagales, Juglandaceae. The transcript is spliced from 3 exons.
UGGGCCCAACGAGGACAUAGGGAAUUUAAGAACGGGAGAUUGUGAUACCCCAUAUGAUAAGAGGAUAAGGUAAGUGGUGUAUAAGAUCUCACAUUGCUUGGGAAUGAGAAGUUCUUCCUCUUUAUAAUGAUCCAAUGGGGCUCUAAUUGUAUCAUUGACUAGUCCUUUUGGAAUAUAGGUCAUGUGGUUUGGCCAUUCCAUUAGGGCAUUAGAAAAGCAAAUUCUCUCUCA